RNAcentral lists this ribosomal RNA (447 nucleotides) under uncultured bacterium. RNAcentral describes it as "bacterial SSU rRNA". It matches the Rfam family "Bacterial small subunit ribosomal RNA", at positions 330 to 794 of the family's 1533-position model. The record is from RNAcentral.
UCCAGACUCCUACGGGAGGCAGCAGUGGGGAAUAUUGCACAAUGGGGGGAACCCUGAUGCAGCGACGCCGCGUGGGUGAAGGAGCACCUCGGUGCGUAAAGCCCUAUCGGCAGGGGAGAAACAGACGGUACCUGACUAAGAAGCCCCGGCUAACUACGUGCCAGCAGCCGCGGGAAUACGUAGGGGGCAAGCGUUAUCCGGAUUCACUGGGUGUAAAGGGAGCGUAGACGGCGACGCAAGUCUGGAGUGAAAGCCCGGGGCCCAACCCCGGGACUGCUCUUGGAACUGCGUGGCUGGAGUGCAGGAGUGGCAGGCGGAAUUCCUGGUGUAGCGGUGAAAUGCGUAGAUAUUAGGAGAAACACCAGUUGCGAAGGCGGCUCUCUGGACUGUAACUGACACUGAGGCACGAAAGCGUGGGGAGCAAACAGGAUUAGAUACCCUCGUAUU